AUGACCAGUGGUCAUGUUCAAGACAAACCAAACUAAAAGAAAAACAUAAGUCGGCAGAGAAGAGAGAACGAAGUCGGCCAUGAAGGAAAGAAGAAGAAGAGGAGAAGGAAUAGUGGGUUCCAAGUCAAACUAAAUAUGUCAAAUCAUUCCUAAUCGAUUAUAGGCUUUGAUUAUCAUCUUUUUAAGGUGCAAAUGGAUUUGGCGUUAGUGACAAGCAACCAUAAAGGAUGAGCCCUGAGAAGCCAUAGCCAUGGAUGAGCACUUGCAGAAGGUUUACGCAAGUGUUAUCUUUAAAUUACAGUCGAGUAUAUUAUGCUUGUUACAUUACUAGACCAUAUUUUAUGAACUUAAUGUGUCGAUUACUUUAAAUUGGUAAUGUGGUCGUUAAACUGAGUCAUGUCAAAGGUGGUUCUUUAUAGGCAGCUUGUUUGGAUUAAAAAUUUAGCAGGUAUGGAUUGUUGAUAUUACAAUGA
Long non-coding RNA from Erigeron canadensis, 473 nucleotides. RefSeq lists it as uncharacterized. The transcript is spliced from 2 exons. The record is from RefSeq and is a predicted model, not a curated record. NCBI's taxonomy places the organism in Eukaryota, Viridiplantae, Streptophyta, Magnoliopsida, Asterales, Asteraceae.